RNAcentral lists this ribosomal RNA (454 nucleotides) under uncultured bacterium. RNAcentral describes it as "bacterial SSU rRNA". It matches the Rfam family "Bacterial small subunit ribosomal RNA", at positions 28 to 507 of the family's 1533-position model. The record is from RNAcentral.
GAUGAACGCUGGCGGCGUGCCUAAUACAUGCAAGUCGAACGGUCCGCAAGGAUAGUGGCGAACGGGUGAGUAACGCGUUGGUGACCUGCCCUGAAGAGGGGGAUAACGGAUCGAAAGAUCCGCUAAUACCGCAUAAGCUCUCACUAGUUAGAGAGGUGAGAGGAAAGCCGAAAGGCGCUUUAGGAGGGACCUGCGUCCCAUCAGCUAGUUGGUAAGGUAGUGGCUUACCAAGGCGAUGACGGGUAGGGGACCUGAGAGGGUGGCCCCCCACAAUGGAACUGAAACACGGUCCAUACACCUACGGGUGGCAGCAGUAGGGAAUAUUGGUUAAUGGGCGAAAGCCUGACCCAGCAACGCCGCGUGAACGAUGAAGGCCUUCGGUUGUAAGUUACUUUUACUAGGGAGUGAGGAAGGACGAGUACCUGUAGAAUAAAGUACUCGGCGUAACUACGUG